Molecule: long non-coding RNA, 1358 nt
Filed under: Androctonus crassicauda
Lineage: Eukaryota; Metazoa; Arthropoda; Arachnida; Scorpiones; Buthidae
Source: RNAcentral
AAAGCUAGUCCAAGACAUACUGUACGCGCGUAACCGCGCGAAGUUGCUUUCUAAUGCUUCGCUUCGCAUCGCGUUCAGUAUGUCACGGCCUUUAUCAUCUCAUUGGACAAGAUUAUUAUUAAAAUUGUUAAAAUUGUUUCUAGGAGUUAUAUCAAUUUUUAAUGAUGAUAAAAUAAUCUCAUUCGAUCCUUGGAUUGCGGCUCAAAUAUUAUAAUCUUGCUGAAAUACAAGGGGAAGCCAAAAGUUCUUUUCCUCACUGUGUACGUACGCUAUAGAUUGUAAUUGUGAACAGUAAUAGAUUACUAUCUUACAAAUCGAGUGCCUUUUUUGUUUUGACUGGAGUUAAAUAUGAUAGCGGAAGAAUAUGUCACAUUGGACAAAACUGAGUAUCGAGCUGUGUGAUACGGUUCCUUUAUCUUCGAGGGAAAACUAUACAAAGUUGUGUAUGACAAGAACAUCCAUCAUAUGAGACUGUAUCAGGUAAAAUGAUGGAAACUGAAUUUCAAACGUUGUCACAUCAGCUUACAAGAUGAUUUUAAAAAAAAAGACAUCCAACAAGGUCACGUCUGUGUUUUCGGAGAGCCAAAGUGUCAUGUUGAUGACUAACGGAUAUACGACAAGGGGCAAUAUGGCACUUUGGCCGAUUAAGGGGCAGGAAUUCGCUACACAAGUUACGAGAUAGUAUUAAAGAAAACACGGUUGGCUGCGAAAAGGUGUGUCGCUACUAGCCGACAAUGCACCGCACACCACCCGCAAAUAUGACUACGAAACCUGGUCCCAUCCCCGUAUUCUUCCGAGCCGGCACCUUCAGAUCUCUUCCCAUUUUAAACUAUGAGAAAACAUUUACGGGGAAGUUUUUCAGCGCAAGAAGUCAUUAGACUAGAUUUGGAAGAAGACCAGCUUUCCAUCGCCAAGCCAGUUUGACUCCAAAUCUGCCGACUUCUAUAAAGAUUGGAUUAAACGGCUGUUCCAUACGUGCGAGAAGUAUUUGGCCGUAGGAAAUGAAUAGGUAGAGAAAGAAGAGUGGAAGGACCAAAUUUCAGAUCCUAACAUAUCCGUGUCACGAUAAGAACUUUGGUUUAAUAUUAGUCCAUACUAUUUUAAACGCAGUUAGUUGAGCGGAGAAUUCAAAUUCACAAUUUAAUUUUGAUAGGAUAUGGAAAAACCAAAGCUUUUUCGUUCGACAACUCUCUCAAGCUUUUUUUACUUUAUAGAUUUAAUUAUUCUACUACAUAAUAAAGAAUUUCUGCCCAGCAACGAUUCAGUUCCGAAAAUCAUAAAGUCAACACAGGAGCGAGGUGGUGAAUCGUAUGGUGCUUUACGGAUCUGUUUGGGUGGCACGGCCGACCGACGAAAAC